UACGGAGGGUGCAAACGUUGCUCGGAAUCAUUGGGCGUAAAGCGCACGUAGGCGGACCGCUAAGUCGGAUGUGAAAGCCCUCGGCUUAACCGAGGAAGUGCAUUCGAAACUGACGGUCUUGAGUAUGGAAGAGGGUCGCGGAAUUCCCGGUGUAGAGGUGAAAUUCGUAGAUAUCGGGAGGAACACCAGUGGCGAAGGCGGCGACCUGGGCAGAUACUGACGCUGAGGUGCGAAAGCGUGGGGAGCAAACAGG
RNAcentral lists this ribosomal RNA (253 nucleotides) under uncultured bacterium. RNAcentral's name for it is "partial 16S ribosomal RNA". It matches the Rfam family "Bacterial small subunit ribosomal RNA", at positions 524 to 776 of the family's 1533-position model. The record is from RNAcentral.